Oreochromis aureus is the source of this 2372-nucleotide long non-coding RNA. The record is from Ensembl. Lineage: Eukaryota; Metazoa; Chordata; Actinopteri; Cichliformes; Cichlidae.
CCUUAUUCUGGUUUAUGCUGGCUGACAGGAAAUGAGAUGAACUGAAAUGACAUUUACCUCUUUAUGACUCAUCUGCUAGCUGUGCUGGGCAAAGGCCCUCGAUUGUACAAACACAGCAGUUUAAAAAAAAAUGCCUUUGGCGUAAGUGCAAACUUAGAUUAUCGGGUUGUAUUUUAAAGCCCCAGUGUGUGUCUUGCAUGUUACUGACCUUAAACUUUAGUGUUUCGUAUUGAUUUUUUUUUUUUUAAGCUCAUCUGGCUAAAGGUUCAGUGCGCUUACGCCAUGGCGAGGCGUCCGUCGUCCGUUUGUCCCACCGCAAUUCACAAGAAUCCGUACUCCUCCCAGAGUACUGGUCGGAUUUUAAUGACUAAUCACUACCUGAUGUGUCUGCACCCACACUGCUCAAGGUCAAAGCUAUACAAGUCAUUUUUACAAGAAUGGCUACUCCUCCUGGAGUAUUGGUCUGACUUUAGUGAAGCAAGGCUAGAUAAUCCUGGAUACGACUGUUUGCGAGCCUCCUUGACUUCUCCCUCGACUUUAAUUCUCAUUCAUUUGUGCAACAAAAGCUGCACAGCUUUCUUUCUGUACUUCACACAUUACAACAACCUUUGAACUGUGAUGGAUCAUGAAGCAAAUGAGCUGUAAUGUCACUGACGCUCUGGUUAGUGAGUGUUUAGUUUUUUACAUUUUAUUGUAGAUUUUAAUUAGGAUAAUCGUCUUAAGGGGCAUCAUUCUGUUUUAGAUUUUACACUUAGAAAAGAGGCCAAAAAACACAAUUUUUACAUGGCAUCCUCUUGAUAUUAGUUUAGCAAGUAUCCAUCCACUUUCUUCCGCUUAGCUGGAGCCUAUGCCAGUUGCCAUAGAGCAGGAGGUGGGGUACACUCUGGACAGGUUGCCAGUCUCAUAUUCAUAUGAAUGGGCAAUUUAGGAUGUUUGGAGUCUGGGAGUAAGUCAGAAAGACCAGGAAAAACAUGCAAACUCCCAGAAACACUUCAUGGAUUUGAACCCAAAACCUUCUUGCUGUGAGGCAACAGGUUCAACCACUGCACUACCAGCAUAGAAGCUGUUAACAAAAACACAAAGUUAGCGUGUGGAUCUAUCGGAUACUAGCUGAGGUGGUUCAGGCAUCCAAUUAGAAUGCCUCCUGGGGGAGAUUUUCUGGGCAUGCCCUAUCGGAAAGAGGCCCCGGGGUAGGCCCAGGUCACGCCGGAGACAUUAGGUCCCUCAGCACUGCCUGGGAAUGCCUCGGUGCUUUCCCCGAAUGAGCUGAAGGAGGUGGCUGGGGAGAGGGAGGUUUGGGAUUCCCUUUUGAUCCAGCCCCAGAUGAGCUGGUGGAAAGUGGAUGGAUGGAUGUUUAAUUUCGAUGACUGAAACUGAACAAGAUGGUGAAACAUAGGAGUCACACACUGGGGCUUAUUGUAUCCCGACUCCUGCUUUCAUUUGACGUCAGUGUAAAUAGAACCAGUUUGAUUUGUCUUGCCUUGUCAGAAGCCAAUUUGUGUGGAGAAAAAGCCCCAGAUUUUACCUUUGUUACCACUCUUUGGCCAAGGCCUGAUAUAAGACUGUUACCUCGCUCGAGUUUUGACUGUAAAGGACUGUUCACUUCUCCUUCUGAAGAUAGUAUUUACUCUAUAUUUGUACUGAUUUUAUUUUGUAAUGCCAAAAGUUAAAGAAUUGAAUAAAAAAACAAAAAAAAAACUCACAUUGGUACAGCCGUUGAACCACUUUGCCAGGAAAACAAAAAACAAAACAUCCAAUCCUUUUGAUUCAGGAUAACUCAAGACUGUCUCCUUCUACUCCUGCAGCUACGAGACAGCAGCAUAUAUAGCAGUAUGUAUAUGUGACUGUACAUGGAAUAGUUCAGAUUAAUAUUACUACAACAUGUGGUGUACUUUGAAGGUAUCUUUGUGCAAUUCUACCUGCGGCUCUUCAGCGUGUCGUACGUAUGUGUGAGAGAGUAACCGUGCCGUUUUCUUGUUAAAAAUCACUGUCGCUUAUUGUGAGGAUAAUGUUGAGUAUAAUGUUAACAUAAUAACUGUCGAUUUAAAAAAAAAAAAGCCAAAACUUUUUCGUGUCAUCAUGGAUAUCAAGUUGAUUUUGUAUCUUGGUGUAAAGCAGAUUCAGAGAUUUCCGAUGCAUACUGAGUGAGAUGCUCUCACGUUUGUUGUGUCUGUUUGGUUGCACACAUCAUGUUUUCUUUGCUCUGUUUGUUUGGGGGUUUUUUUUGCUUUGUUUUUUUUUUUUUAGAAGGUGGGGUUGUUUUUAGAUUUCUUCCAUCUCACCGAUCAUCACUGAGAUUCUGCCAUAUUGGACGCAGACAUCUGCUUAACUCUGAACAGAAAACUGUGGAUUUUGUGUCAAAAUAAAUGUGC